This 429-nucleotide ribosomal RNA is filed under the name bacterium. RNAcentral's name for it is "partial 16S ribosomal RNA". It matches the Rfam family "Bacterial small subunit ribosomal RNA", at positions 355 to 776 of the family's 1533-position model. The record is from RNAcentral.
UAGGGAAUCUUCCACAAUGGACGCAAGUCCGAUGGAGCAACGCUGCGUGAGUGAAGAAGGUUUUCGGAUCGUAAAGCUCUGUUGUUGGUGAAGAAGGAUAGAGGUAGUAACUGGCCUUUAUUUGACGGUAAUCAACCAGAAAGUCACGGCUAACUACGUGCCAGCAGCCGCGGUAAUACGUAGGUGGCAAGCGUUGUCCGGAUUUAUUGGGCGUAAAGCGAGCGCAGGCGGAAGAAUAAGUCUGAUGUGAAAGCCCUCGGCUUAACCGAGGAACUGCAUCGGAAACUGAUUUACUUGAGUGCAGAAGAGGAGAAUGGAAUUCCAUGUGUAGCGGUGGAAUGCGUAGAUAUAUAGAAGAACACCAGAGGCGAAGGCGACUCUCUGGUCUGCAACAGACGCAGAGGCUCGAAAGCAUGAGUAGCGAACAGG